Long non-coding RNA from Daphnia carinata, 916 nucleotides. RefSeq lists it as uncharacterized. The record is from RefSeq and is a predicted model, not a curated record. The transcript is spliced from 3 exons. Lineage: Eukaryota; Metazoa; Arthropoda; Branchiopoda; Diplostraca; Daphniidae.
AGUAUUAAAUUUACCUUUCCAUGGCGCGUGGAACAUGGCCAGCAAAUGCUGGAAGAACAGGAAUCAUUCCAAAGGCCCGCAUUCGCUCCAAUAUCUUGUGCUGAAGUGCAAGAGUCGCUUGGUGCCAAUUAUCGCUUAAAGUUAUACCCAUCCUCGAAAAUUUCCCAUUCGUUGCCUGGAGAGAAGAUUUUGGUUUAAGCCCGUGGAAUGGAAUGUAAAGUACCAAGUUAUGGAAUCGAUUUACCAAGCAAAGAAAGCUGGACCAGAAAAAUGUUCAUCAAGGUCUGCCUGUACUAGGCCUAGUCCCAAAUAAACUCGUUGCCAAAUAACCUCUUGUCCGGUAAAAGCUAAAGGCAAAUUAAUUCCGUUCAUUGCCAUCCAGUCAAUUUCACGUUCCCAUCGCGGCCACUGCCACCAAGCAAAACUGUAGCUUACCGUACACGUGUUCUGAUAGUAACGGAAUCUGUAUAAUGUUUGUAAUUAACCUGUUAGUCUUUCCUCAAGCUUUUAACGCGAAGAAACAAAAGUACCAUACUUAUCUAAAGAAGUGAUCCGUACUGAGACGUCGGGUAAAUCCGCAGGUAAAUUCAACUGGUCUGUAUCCCACGACACUUGGCAAUGACAGAAUUGAGUUAAAUAGUAAUGAAAUCCCCAUGCUGCCAUUACACCAGUGGAUCCUCGAACGACAACUGUUGCAUUCCCUGCGACCUUUUCGAUCUGCAAUUAAGUGGCACACAAACAUUGUCUUAAGACAACAAAAACCUGGAAGUAUCCAUUUUCUUCUCCGGGCAGGCCUGACUCAACCGUAACAUCGAAUUCAUUUGCACGUCCUGGAAUAAGACGGCCGAUCAGGUCUGUGACGGCUUGCGCUUGGAUCUCCACGGAGGUGCGCGUAUGGAUUUUGUCCAGCGGUACG